Molecule: long non-coding RNA, 205 nt
Filed under: Zostera marina
Lineage: Eukaryota; Viridiplantae; Streptophyta; Magnoliopsida; Alismatales; Zosteraceae
Description: long non-coding RNA (ZMAR_LNC005758)
Source: RNAcentral
CUUGUCUAGAAUCCUUUUGUGAUCCUUUGACAGUUGCAAUGAACCCGUUGACUGGGUAUCGUAUGCAUUGGUGAUAAGAAGACGGGACUGCUUUGAUCCCAUGAAUGAAGGGUCGUCCAAAGAUGCCGUGAAAAGUGGAUUCUACUUCCACCACUAUAAAACGACAUGUUCGACUAACCCUCCCUCGUCGGGAUCCGAUGGAGAC